GGGCGACCGGCCACACUGGGACUGAGACACGGCCCAGACUCCUACGGGAGGCAGCAGUGGGGAAUAUUGCACAAUGGGCGGAAGCCUGAUGCAGCGACGCCGCGUGAGGGAUGACGGCCUUCGGGUUGUAAACCUCUUUCGACAGGGACGAAGCGCAAGUGACGGUACCUGGAGAAGAAGCACCGGCCAACUACGUGCCAGCAGCCGCGGUAAGACGUAGGGUGCGAGCGUUGUCCGGAUUUAUUGGGCGUAAAGAGCUCGUAGGCGGCUCGUCGCGUCGACCGUGAAAACCCACAGCUUAACUGUGGGCUUGCGGUUGAUACGGGCGGGCUAGAGUUCGGUAGGGGAGACUGGAAUUCCUGGUGUAGCGGUGAAAUGCGCAGAUAUCAGGAGGAACACCGGUGGCGAAGGCGGGUCUCUGGGCCGAUACUGACGCUGAGGAGCGAAAGCGUGGGGAGCGAACAGGAUUAGAUACCCUGGUAGUCCACGCUGUAAACGUUGGGCGCUAGGUGUGGGGGGCCUCUCCGGUUCUCUGUGCCGCAGCUAACGCAUUAAGCGCCC
Molecule: ribosomal RNA, 561 nt
Filed under: uncultured Virgisporangium sp.
Lineage: Bacteria; Bacillati; Actinomycetota; Actinomycetes; Micromonosporales; Micromonosporaceae
Description: bacterial SSU rRNA
Rfam family: Bacterial small subunit ribosomal RNA
Source: RNAcentral